RNAcentral lists this long non-coding RNA (546 nucleotides) under Oryza sativa Indica Group (long-grained rice). RNAcentral's name for it is "lncRNA OsLiXu_01g0038410". The record is from RNAcentral. Lineage: Eukaryota; Viridiplantae; Streptophyta; Magnoliopsida; Poales; Poaceae.
UCCCGGCGGCCUCCCGCCUCAGCGUUGUGCCCGUCACAGCCUACCGGUUGCCUGCUGCACAGAGGGGCGGGCGGCAGACGGUGGACGACGUCGCGUGAGAGCGGGCAGUGGGCGUCGGACGGCGAUGCGCGGGGGCGGGCGGCAGCGGCGCGGGAAGAGCGUGGCGAGCAGGUGGUGUUAAUUCCCCGUGAAGAUGACGACGCUCUUGCACCUAGAGAAGAAGACCGGGGAGCAGCAAACGUAGGUGGUCUCUACGAGCUGUACGCGGCGUUGCCGCCAUGCGGAGAAGGAGGAGGGGGCUGGAGUGGGCCUUCUUCUUCAUAUGCUGUAGCUGGACGAGCGGUAUUGGUCAAUGCAGUCCUCCGAGUCGUAGGCGAGCUCGCGGAGCUGCUUCAUCCACUCCAGGACGAAGUGGUCCACGGUGCCGUCGUCGGCCUCGAAUUGCAUGCGGUGGAGGGUGUUCAUGGUGGCCAGCUCGGCGACUUCGCUACCGACGCCGUUGAGCUGCCUGUAUUCCUCGGUCAGCAACUGACCAACGUUGCUUAC